AUUGAACGCUGGCGGCGUGCCUAACACAUGCAAGUCGAGCGGCAGCGCGGGAGCAAUCCUGGCGGCGAGCGGCGGACGGGUGAGCAAUGCUUGGGAAUCUGCCUAUCAGUGGGGGACAACCCGGGGAAACUCGGGCUAAUACCGCAUACGUUCUUCGGAAGAAAGCAGGGGAUCGCAAGACCUUGCGCUGAUAGAUGAGCCCAAGCCGGAUUAGCUAGUUGGUGAGGUAAUGGCUCACCAAGGCGACGAUCCGUAGCUGGUCUGAGAGGACGACCAG
This 277-nucleotide ribosomal RNA is filed under the name uncultured bacterium. Its description in RNAcentral is "partial 16S ribosomal RNA". It matches the Rfam family "Bacterial small subunit ribosomal RNA", at positions 30 to 307 of the family's 1533-position model. The record is from RNAcentral.